RNAcentral lists this ribosomal RNA (440 nucleotides) under uncultured bacterium. RNAcentral describes it as "partial 16S ribosomal RNA". It matches the Rfam family "Bacterial small subunit ribosomal RNA", at positions 338 to 795 of the family's 1533-position model. The record is from RNAcentral.
CCUACGGGAGGCAGCAGUGGGGAAUAUUGCACAAUGGGGGGAACCCUGAUGCAGCGACGCCGCGUGAGUGAAGAAGUAUUUCGGUAUGUAAAGCUCUAUCAGCAGGGAAGAAAAUGACGGUACCUGACUAAGAAGCCCCGGCUAACUACGUGCCAGCAGCGGCGGUAAUACGUAGGGGGCAAGCGUUAUCCGGAUUUACUGGGUGUAAAUGGGGAGUAGACGGCGGAGCAAGUCAGAAGUGAAAGCCGUCGGCCCAACUGCGGGACUGCUUUGGAAACUGCCCGGCUAGAGUGCUGGAGAGGUAAGCGGAAUUCCUGGUGUAGCGGUGAAAUGCGUAGAUAUUAGGAGGAACACCAGUGGCGAAGGCAGCUUACUAGACAGUAACUGACGUUGAGGCUCGAAAGCGUGGGGAGCAAACAGGAUUAGAUACCCGAGUAGUC